AUUGAACGCUGGCGGCAUGCCUUACACAUGCAAGUCGAACGGCAGCAUGGGUGCUUGCACCUGAUGGCGAGUGGCGAACGGGUGAGUAAUGCAUCGGAACGUACCCGGAAGUGGGGGAUAACGUAGCGAAAGUUACGCUAAUACCGCAUAUUCUGUGAGCAGGAAAGCAGGGGAUCGCAAGACCUUGCGCUGAUUGAGCGGCCGAUAUCAGAUUAGCUAGUUGGUGAGGUAAAGGCUCACCAAGGCGACGAUCUGUAGCGGGUCUGAGAGGAUGAUCCGCCACACUGGAACUGAGACACGGUCCAGACUCCUACGGGAGGCAGCAGGUGGGGAAUUUUGGACAAUGGGGGCAACCCUGAUCCAGCCAUGCCGCGUGAGUGAAG
RNAcentral lists this ribosomal RNA (383 nucleotides) under uncultured bacterium. RNAcentral describes it as "bacterial SSU rRNA". It matches the Rfam family "Bacterial small subunit ribosomal RNA", at positions 30 to 410 of the family's 1533-position model. The record is from RNAcentral.